AAUAUUGGACAAUGGGAGAGAGUCUGAUCAAGCCAUCACGCGUGCAGGAAGAAUGCCUUAUGGGUNUUACACUGCUUUUAUACAGGNAUAAACCACUUUACGUGUAAGGUGUUGAAGGUACUGUAUGAAUAAGCAGCGGCUAACGCUGUGACAGCAGCCUCGGUAAUACGGAGGAUGCAAGCGUUAUCCGGAUUUAUUGGGUUUAAAGGGUCCGUAGGCAGGCAUAUAAGUCAGGGGUGAAAUCCGACAGCUUAACUGUCGAACUGCCUUAGAAACUGAAUGUCUUGAGUGAGAUUGAAGCAGCUGGAAUGUGUAGUGUAGCGGUGAAAUGCAUAGAUAUUACACAGAACACCGAUAGCGUAGGCAGGUUGCUAAGUCUAUACUGACGCUGAUGGACGACAGCGUGGGGAGCAAAC
Molecule: ribosomal RNA, 416 nt
Filed under: uncultured bacterium
Lineage: Bacteria
Description: partial 16S ribosomal RNA
Rfam family: Bacterial small subunit ribosomal RNA
Source: RNAcentral